This 977-nucleotide long non-coding RNA is filed under the name Lytechinus variegatus (green sea urchin). RNAcentral's name for it is "uncharacterized LOC121412754". Lineage: Eukaryota; Metazoa; Echinodermata; Echinoidea; Temnopleuroida; Toxopneustidae. The record is from RNAcentral.
UGCAGAAACCAGACAGAGAGCCUGGGUGGAUAUGCUAUUGGCUGCCUAGGUCGGACUGCCUCCAACCUGAGGUGGUCUUGGAGUGAUCUAACGUUAGAAUGAAUGGUUACGCUAGGAAUCAGACAAAGACUGGAGGUGAACAGUUUGGUAAAGUGAAGUCAAAAUGGAAAUCGUGCUGGCAGUCAUGAGGAACAAGGCCAAAUAUUGGGUCCAUCCAUGGCCAGGAGACAGAGACUGAGAUAUCUGAGCAACUGCUUUCACAUAGGGCAUCCUGCUUCUGGACAUGGGGAAGCCAGAGAAGGAGGUUGAGGGGGAGCGUCAAGCUGUUCCCGAGGCACCAUUGACAUCCAGGGUAGAUGGGAUCUACCGGUAGUUGAUUGUGUAGGACACCAAGAUGAAACCCAGCAUAAGAGAAGAAAGAGAAGGUGCCCUUCCUGUUUUGACCAGCACACCGAGUACCAGGAGCAUGGAUCUGCUGCAAGUUCAACAGGAGACACUCAGAAUGCAGCAAGCUUUGCUGCAAAUAUUUUACAUAAAAAAUCAUCCAUGAUGAUUUUAAAAUUAUCCACAAUUGUUUGCAGCAGUGUUUUAAUGAAAAUCAGAAGUAAUGUUGAACAAUUCAACUUCAUUUUUUUUCGUAUUUUACUACUGAUGUCCAUUAACAUCUACAAUAAAUAUUACCCGUGUUCUUAGCAAAUCUUGCUGACUUUUAAAGAAGGCAUCAACUACUUAUUGGUGCAUAUACUCCACAUUUUUAUGAUGUUCCCUUGGUUUCCUGCUGAAAAGCUCAAUGCAGCUUUAACUUAAGCAAAAUAUGAACAAAAAUCUUUAUUUGUAGAAAUUCAUACAGCAAUAUCUAUAUUACGGAGAUUGGGCAAGAUUGUUUCAUUGACAGUUACUGAUUAAAAUAAUUAAUUUCAUGUUAUUUAUGAUAGUGUCUCGAACAAUUUCCAUUGAAAAUGAAAUAAAUGAAAUGU